GACGAACGCUGGCGGCGUGCUUAACACAUGCAAGUCGAACGGAAAGGCCCUGCUUUUGUGGGGUGCUCGAGUGGCGAACGGGUGAGUAACACGUGAGUAACCUGCCCUUGACUUUGGGAUAACUUCAGGAAACUGGGGCUAAUACCGGAUAGGAGCUCCUGCUGCAUGGUGGGGGUUGGAAAGUUUCGGCGGUUGGGGAUGGACUCGCGGCUUAUCAGCUUGUUGGUGGGGUAGUGGCUUACCAAGGCUUUGACGGGUAGCCGGCCUGAGAGGGUGACCGGCCACAUUGGGCCUGAGAUACGGCCCAGACUCCUACGGGAGGCAGCAGUGGGGAAUAUUGCACAAUGGGCGGAAGCCUGAUGCAGAAACGCCGCGUGCGGGAUGACGGCCCUCGGGUUGUAAACCGCUUUCGCAUGUGACGAAGCGUGAGUGACGGUAAUGGGUAAAGAAGCACCGGCUAACUACGUG
RNAcentral lists this ribosomal RNA (468 nucleotides) under uncultured bacterium. RNAcentral describes it as "partial 16S ribosomal RNA". It matches the Rfam family "Bacterial small subunit ribosomal RNA", at positions 28 to 507 of the family's 1533-position model. The record is from RNAcentral.